AUCCAGCUAACGAGUCCCAAAUAGGACAUAACGCGCGUCAAACUGGAU
Non-coding RNA from Schistosoma rodhaini, 48 nucleotides. The record is from Rfam. NCBI's taxonomy places the organism in Eukaryota, Metazoa, Platyhelminthes, Trematoda, Strigeidida, Schistosomatidae.